Long non-coding RNA from Peromyscus eremicus (cactus mouse), 897 nucleotides. RefSeq lists it as uncharacterized. The record is from RefSeq and is a predicted model, not a curated record. NCBI's taxonomy places the organism in Eukaryota, Metazoa, Chordata, Mammalia, Rodentia, Cricetidae. The transcript has 4 exons.
GUCUGUAAGCUCAUCUUCCUUCAACUAUCUGCCCUCCCUCCUCUUUCCUCAUUUCCCUGACGGUUUACCUGGUGGAAUUAAGAUACACACUGUGUCAGCAGGCAACCUUGUCAACUAUGCUCCUGCCAAACUGAUUUCCCUGGGAACCCUGCAAGCAGGAGAACACAAAGGGAACUCACACUGCUCCACAGCACUCAGGUUGUCUGUGAAACCCUUCCUGCCAUGCCUUGGUGAUACCCUCCUUCCCUACUCUGGAUCCACGACACCCAUGGAGAAGUUUCUGUGGUGCACGGCCUGAUGUGAUAUGCUUCAGUAACCCACCAACAAACUAAGCAACAAAGGCCUUGAGGCACUGGUAGAGGAAGCUGUCUGGAAGCAUGGUGUGAAAAGCCUGGAUAUUGAAACCAGAGGACUGGGCUGCAGGCCCAUGCCCUGUGGGACUCUUGGCAAGCUUCUUCACCUUGCUGCCCUGGGCCUGUCUCCAUCACCUGUUCUUAUUCUUCCAUGUGAAAGAGCCAGAAACCAAUGUUAUACCACAAAGCAAAUAAAUCAGUCCCAAGCCCUGAGGACUUCUGAAGAGUGCUGUGGAUAUUGUUCUGUAUAAAUAAAACACUGAAUGGCCAGUGGCCAGGCAGGAAGUAUAAGCGGGACAAGGAGAGAGGAGAAUUCUGGGAAGUGGAAGGCUGAGUGGGAGAGACACUGCCAGGCGCCGCCAUGACAAGCAGCAUGUGAAGAUGCCGGAUGGAGGCCAAAAGAAGCAGCUACCACCACAGCGGGACCAGAAGAAAGUUCAGGUCCUGGUCUGCUACUAGCUUGCCAACCAUGGCCAAGUUCUGGCCCUUCAGAGGUUUGUUUUCUCAUCUGUCAUCAAUUUCUAACUUAUUGGGCAUGAUGUUA